CCUGGAUCUGCAACUGCUGACUACACCUGCACAGCUGUAUCCACCUCAGGUUUUUGGAACAUGAGUCCUUCAAUCUUGCUGACUCUCCUGUGCUUGGGAAUAGCCUCCGCUGCUCCCACGACAGAUCACAGUUCAGAGGCUCAACCAACUCAGAGGACGGCAGCCCCCGGGAACGUCCUGGACACGGUUGAAGAUGUGAUCAAUAAUGUCGGGGCAGAGAAUAGCCCCAUCGUGCUUGAAAAGGACAAUCAGGAACCAAUUGAAGAACAAAAGGACUUCAGGGCUCCCUGUGGUGACAUAAAACUGCGGCUUAAAACAUCCA
Long non-coding RNA from Molossus molossus (Pallas's mastiff bat), 322 nucleotides. RefSeq lists it as uncharacterized. The transcript has 3 exons. The record is from RefSeq and is a predicted model, not a curated record. NCBI's taxonomy places the organism in Eukaryota, Metazoa, Chordata, Mammalia, Chiroptera, Molossidae.